GUAUUUGUUUGGAUCCCCCGCCUUUGUUUGGGAAUAAGGUGUAUGAACCAUUGUACUAGUCAAAUAUAUCCAAGUCCUUUAUGGAUUUUGGUAUUUCAAAAAGAAAUUCCAAACUCUUAACGAUGGAUGCCUCGGCUCGAGAAUCGAGGAAGGAGGCAACGAAGUGCGAUAAGCACUGCGAUUUGCACAAUUCCGUGAAUCAGUAGAAAUCUCAACGCAUACUGCACAAAGGGGAUCUUUCCUCUUUGUACAUACAUAUCAGAGUCGCUCUUCUUCCCGAUACAAACAUUUCUUUGCAUUUAUGCAAUCUAGUGCUUUGUAUCCCGYUUGACUCCUCUCGGAAUCUGUCUGUGCGCUUGCGAUUUUUAAUUGCAGACGUAUUAAUUUGCAAGGCUAUAACUGUAUAUAUAUGAUUGUAGCCCCUUAGAAAAGAGGGCUGGGCCCGUGGACAUUUUCAUGGAGGUCUGCAAAAUUGGCUGGGGUGGGGGGAUUUCACGUGGUCCUUGGUCCCGGGAUUUAUCUUUCCAACGCCAUAUGGCAAAAUUUGAUGAAAGCAGCGGACAGGAGGUUGGAUCCAGAGGUCAGGUCGGCCCGGGAGUAAUUAUAUAAUCAAAAGAGGGUGGAUACGCCCGCUUUUAUGGCCUAUUGUACAUCAUUAGAAGACCUGAUGUA
This 672-nucleotide ribosomal RNA is filed under the name Perkinsus beihaiensis. Its description in RNAcentral is "eukaryotic LSU rRNA". Lineage: Eukaryota; Perkinsozoa; Perkinsida; Perkinsidae. The record is from RNAcentral.